Long non-coding RNA from Gadus macrocephalus (Pacific cod), 646 nucleotides. RefSeq lists it as uncharacterized. Lineage: Eukaryota; Metazoa; Chordata; Actinopteri; Gadiformes; Gadidae. The record is from RefSeq and is a predicted model, not a curated record. The transcript has 3 exons.
CCGCCUGAAGGUAUUUGCCUCUUCUGGCACUUGGCCCUCCAGUGCAGGGAACAGGCCAUCUCCAAAACAGGCCAAGUGGCCCAACCUCUACCAGAAGAUUGAGAAAUGUCCCAUGAUGCUGCGUGGGCAGACCUUAAUCUUAGGGAUAGCCCAGACAUGUACCUGUGGCUUUCACUCCCAGCAGGUAAUAUUGAGAGCCUGGUGAAAUAAAUGCAUUUUGUAGGCUUACAAUUUGUGAUGUGGACAAAAUCCCAUAUUGAUUAGUAUUAAUGCUUGUUUAAUGGUUUUAUUGUUUCUGUCUGUCAGUCUGUGAGAAGCCCUGCAGCUACCUCUGCCUCCACCUCUGCUGCGCCUGCACGGAGCCCUGGGAGGCCUGCAUUGACGCUGGCGAUGUUUGAGAAAGCGCGGUUCGGUGGGACUUUGUCUGCUGCAGCCAAGCCGAAUGUCAAUCUGACCAGGAGGCCUGUUGAGGUAAUUGAUGUACCUAUAGCUGUGCCUGAUGCCUAAGAACACAGCCAUACAGCCAACACUAUCCUUGUUUUGUAAUUGUACUUCAUCGGCUCAGUUUCCCCGAAACUAAAAUAUAAUUUAGUUUUUAGUGUGGUUAAUCUUAAAUACGGAUUGAAAAUGUUGACAAUAAUUAAUA